AGGGUGGAUGAAGCGACCUGUUGAACAGAAGCCUUCAGAAAGAAGGAAGAGAUACCCACCAGGGUUCUCCCAGUGGUUUUGGAGAACAUGAUGUGAAAUGCAUGUCCUUUGCUCCUGCCACAUAAUUGUGCACCUCAGUAACUCUCUAGAGUUACUGCAGAAUGCACCGGCAUGACCAGCCUUGUUGUGACCCUCACACUGUCAGCAACUGGCUUCCACCUACAAGGUUGAGGAAGAAGACGAAGAACACAGGCAAUGGGCUAGAGCACUGACAUACCAGCCAUGCUACAGCAGCAGUACAGAGGUGCAGCAGUCACAUCAGGCUAGGGAUAAGGGAGAUAGGUUUCUCUUGACCGUGGACACAAGGUGUUUCUUCUGAGUAUGCAUAAAUUGCUGGAGUUCUUUUGCUUUGGCUUAUGCUCUGAGACAUUCGGGGUGCUUUUUUAAAAAAUUGACAUUCACACUUUUUAGUCAUUUUGCCCAGGAAGGGAACAUUGGAGUAUAAAGGUACAGUGGUACUUUCUAUUUAGUAGACUCUGAUUUUAUGUUUUGCUUUUGAUGGAAUUUGCAGUCCAAGAUGUUCUCUUUAACCAACUGAAACAAUAUAUUUAUGUGUAAACACAAAAAGACAUUUGAUUAUAGCUCAUGCAGUUGUGGUUAGAUUUCAUUAGUAUAACUUCCAGAAAAAGAGCUAAAUCUCUGGAUUUGAAUGUAAACCUGAUACUCGGAUAUACUGUUUCACAAUUAUUGUACAACUUCAGUGGGCAAGAAGAAAGUCUAAUACCUUUUUAAGUGCACCUAUGCCAGUACAGUUCAGCUUAAUUUUCUGUUCAUUCUCCCCCCUGCCCUCCCAACUACAGAUAGAAACUGGAAAAGUGAUAAAAUUGGGCAAUUGCAUUUUGUAGAAAAUAAACUAGCUGAUUCCAUAUUUAUAACCUUUAUUAACCUGACAAGGAGGAGUGGAAUAGCCAGCAAAUUGUGUUCAGGAUUGAAAAUGUCAAAGUUGUGGAGCAUAGUACCAUAAUUACCAAAGUACCUCAGGUAUUAUUAGAAUUUUGAUAGUUUCCUCUUCUGACAAGUUUGGUAAUGAGAACAGAAAAUAUACAAAAUUAAUUUAUUUUCAUGACAAAAAUAGUAACGAGGUGAGAUGAUUAUAUCCAACUCGCAAUCUCAAAGUUGUCAUUUCCCAUUGGACUGGACCAGUAAUCUUAGCAGCUUAAUUAAAUCAGUAAUAAUAAUUUCUCCUCCCUUCCCCCUCUGCUCAGAAGAGGGAAAAUUUAAUGGAAAGGCAAGAACAUUUCCACAAUAAAAGUUGCCUUGAGGUUUGCACUCAAAACAGUGAUUAAGCAUUUUAUUAUGUACUUUUAUCUAUGCUCUUGAACACUGAUACUUCAGAACUUGUGAGUUAGUCCUCAGAAGAGACCUUAAAAAUAGUUAAACAUUUUGCUAAAUAUGCAUUACUUAUGUUGCAAGGGAAAACUUGAAAAAUUUGUAUUUUCUAUAAACUCUAUACCAAGUUUUGUUUGUUUUUGUUGUUGUUGUUUUUCCUUACACUAAUAGUAUAAUGUGUAUAUUAAUGUUUAAGGAAGUGAUCAAAUAAUAGUGUUUGACCUCAACAUUAUUUAUAUUGUUAACUUAUUAGUGCAGCAUUAUUGAAAGGAUUUUAAAGCAACUGACAUUCUGAUUAAAAAUCAUCUUAAACAACAGUACACACAAAUCCAGAAAUUGCUAUUUUAAUUAGUCAAUUAGCAAAUUAGCAGCUCUCAUAUUUGGUUACACUUCUAUCAUAGAAAGUCCAGCACAAAUUAAGUAUUUUUUUUUUUUUUUUUUUUUUUUUCCAUUAGUAGCCAUUAGGCUAGAAAUUAGUGGCAACAAGCAGCCAUUAGGGCACAAAUUAGGCUGUCUCAGUGACUUAGACUGUGUUUCAGGGGUACCUCCUUCAAUAAGAAGGACAAAGGACAUAGAAGAAAUAAAUUGAAAGCUUUCUUAUCAAGUCUCAUAAAGUAGCUACAGCUAAUUUGUCUUUGUUUCUUGAUACUUCUAUUUCUCUGCCUCCUUUUUUCCUCUUUCUCUGGAACAAGGACUUACAGGGGAAGCCUAUUUAUCUCUAUCUGCAAUUUUCUGAAACCAGUAUGAAGCUAUGAUACAAGUUAACUCUGUUAGCAGCCCCAUCUGAUUCUAGAGACUUCUCUUUAGCCAGUCUACACUCUAAUUUUUGAUUCGUACUG
Oxyura jamaicensis (ruddy duck) is the source of this 2228-nucleotide long non-coding RNA. RefSeq lists it as uncharacterized. The transcript has 2 exons. The record is from RefSeq and is a predicted model, not a curated record. Lineage: Eukaryota; Metazoa; Chordata; Aves; Anseriformes; Anatidae.